This 1469-nucleotide ribosomal RNA is filed under the name uncultured organism. RNAcentral's name for it is "16S ribosomal RNA". It matches the Rfam family "Bacterial small subunit ribosomal RNA". The record is from RNAcentral.
CGUGCCUAACACAUGCAAGUCGAACGCUAAAGGGACUUCCGUGCUGAUUACAGAGGAGAACGGGUGAGUAACACGUGGGUGACCUACCCUCGAGGGGGGGAUAACGUUCCUAAUGGGACGCUUAUACCGCAUGACAUUCCUGGUUUGAUGACCGGAACAUCUGAUCCGGGGACCGCCUGGCCUGCUGCUUGAUGAAGGGCCCGCGUCUGAUUAACUAGUUGGUGGGGCAACGGCCUACCGAGGCGACAAUCAGUAGACGGGCUGAGAGGGUCGACGGCCCCGCUGGUACUGAGACACGGCCCAUACUCCUACAGGAGGCAGCAGUGGAGAAUUGUUCGCGAUGGGCGCACGGCUGAAGACACAACGCCGCGUGGAAGAUGAAUGUCUUCAGAUUGUAAAUCUCCUGUUGAACAAGACCAAAAGCUCCAUCCUAAUACUCUGGAUACUGACGGUUCCUGUUGAAGAAGCCACGGUUAAUUCUGUGCCAGCAGCCGCGGUAAUACAAAGGUGGCAAGCGUUGUUCGAAAUUACUGGGCGUAAAGGGCGCGUAGGCGGUCUUCUAAUUUGAACGUGAAAGCUGCGGGUUUAACCUGGGAACUGCUUCCGAUAGUGUAAGGUUUGUAUUCGAGGAGAGGGAUGCAAAUUUUCGUGUGUAGCUGAGAUGUGCGUAUAUAUCUAGGAGGAACACCUGGUGGAGAGACGCUCUUCCUGUAGUAACUAUCACUGUGACUGCGCAAAAGCUAGGGGAGCAAACGAGAUUAGAUACCCCGGUAGUUCUAGCCCUAAACGAUGAGUGCUUGGUGUGGCGGGUAUCGAUGCGUGCCGUGCCGAAGCUAACGCAUUAAGCAAUUCGCCUGGGGAGUUCGGUCGCAAGGCUGAAACUCAAAGGAAUUGACGGGGGGCCGCACAAGCGGUGGAGCAUGUGGUUUAAUUUGACGCAACGCGAAGAACCUUACCUGGGCUUGAACUGUAGAUGACAUCCGGCGAAAGUCGGCUUCUGCAAGGACAUAUGCAGAGGUGGUGCAUGGCUGUCGUCAUCUCGUGUCGUGAGAUGUUGGGGUAAGUCCUGCAACGAGCGCAACCCUCGUCCUCUGUUGCCAUCAGGUUAAGCUGGGCACUUUGAGGAGGCUGCCGGUGAUAAACCGGAGGAAGGUGGGGAUGACGUCAAGUUAGCAUGGCCCUUAUGUCCAGGGCUACACACGUGGUACAAUGGUCGGUACAAAGCGUUGCAAGCCUGCGAAGGUGAGCUAAUUGUAUAAAACCGGUUUCAGUUUGGAUUGUAGGGUGCAACUUGCCUGCAUGAAGUUGGAAUCGCUAGUAAUCGCGGAUCAGCAUGCCGCGGUGAAUACGUUUCCGGGCCUUGUACACACCGCCCGUCACAUCACGAAAGCUGGGUGUCCUAGAAGUAACUGGUCCAACCCGCAAGGGAGGAAGGUUCCUAAGGUAUGGUUAGUGAUUGGGGUGAAGUC